RNAcentral lists this transfer RNA (70 nucleotides) under Ictidomys tridecemlineatus (thirteen-lined ground squirrel). RNAcentral describes it as "Spermophilus tridecemlineatus (thirteen-lined ground squirrel) tRNA". It matches the Rfam family "tRNA". From Rfam's summary of the family: Transfer RNA (tRNA) molecules are approximately 80 nucleotides in length. Their secondary structure includes four short double-helical elements and three loops (D, anti-codon, and T loops). Lineage: Eukaryota; Metazoa; Chordata; Mammalia; Rodentia; Sciuridae. The record is from Rfam by way of RNAcentral.
GCAGAGGUAGCUUAGUGGUAGAGCACUUGUCUAGCAUGUGUGAAAUACUGGGUUCAAUCCCAGCACUGCA